This 366-nucleotide ribosomal RNA is filed under the name uncultured bacterium. RNAcentral describes it as "partial 16S ribosomal RNA". It matches the Rfam family "Bacterial small subunit ribosomal RNA", at positions 338 to 701 of the family's 1533-position model. The record is from RNAcentral.
CCUACGGGAGGCAGCAGUGAGGAAUAUUGGUCAAUGGGCGCUAGCCUGAACCAGCCAAGUAGCGUGAAGGAUGACUGCCCUAUGGGGUGUAAACUUCUUUUAUAGGGGAAUAAAGUGCAGUAGGUAUACGGCUUUGCAUGUACCUUAUGAAUAAGGAUCGGCUAACUCCGUGCCAGCAGCCGCGGUAAUACGGAGGAUCCGAGCGUUAUCCGGAUUUAUUGGGUUUAAAGGGAGCGUAGGCGGGUUGUUAAGGCCGUGGUGAAAGUUUGCGGCUCAACCGUUAAAUUGCAGUUGAUACUGGCAUCCUUGAGUUCAGUUGCGGUAGGCGGAAUUCGUGGUGUAGCGGUGAAAUGCUUAGCUAUCACG